This 957-nucleotide ribosomal RNA is filed under the name Triticum aestivum (bread wheat). Its description in RNAcentral is "partial small subunit ribosomal RNA". Lineage: Eukaryota; Viridiplantae; Streptophyta; Magnoliopsida; Poales; Poaceae. The record is from RNAcentral.
AUGGUGCCAGCAAAGAUAAAGAUUUUUUUGUGGCGAUGCUUACACAAUGCUAUCCCAUGCUUCAGUGUUCUCGCAAAUCGCCAUAUAGGGAGUAUAUCUCAAUGCCCAGUCUGCCAAGAUGGUGCGGAGGAUAUAUGUCAUGUCCUAUUUCAGUGUGCACGAUCGAAGGCCGUUUGGGAUGCACUCGGACUCAGUGAAGAGAUUCAGUUUGCUGUUGUAAUAGACCGAGCUGGUGCGUCUGUUAUCGAUUUCUUAUUAUGCGAUGAAGCUUAUCAGAAGGCGUACACUGGUCAGGUUGAGCUAUCGGAGAUGAUAGCCACAACAUGCUGGUAUCUGUGGUGGCAGCGGAGAGAAUUCGUCAAAGGGGAGAAGCUGCAAACGCCGGAGAGGACAGCACCUGCGAUCUUGGCGCUUGCCCUCAACUACGCUCGUGCUGUAGGGAAAGGUCCGACUGUUGCUAAAUUAAACAAGUGGCCAUCUAUCUUACCACGGCAUCUAGUUCUGAACGUGGACGCAUCCUAUUUUGCUGGGAAAAAUUCAGGUUCAUGCGGGGCGGUUGUCAGGGAUCAUAAAUGUCGUUUCAUCACAGUUGCAACAGCAAGACUUGAACACGCCGCUGAUGUUGUCGCGGCAGAAACAGCGGCACUGUUUGAAGGUUUAAAAUUAGUCCUAAGUGUGGGAUGUGCUAAGUUGAUGGUAAGAAUGGAUAACAGUGUUGUGGUGGAUGCAAUAAAGCCAAACGAAGGCCAUUCAAUGGUUGCAGCGCCUGUGUUAGAUGAUUGUCGAAAUAUCUUGGGUGAUUUUGGGAAGGUUACUAUUGAGCAUUGCUUUAGAGAGUCAAAUGUAGUAGCUCACGAGCUGGCAAAGUGGGGGUGUGCAAACGAUCCUCAUGUUUGGGCGAAUGCACCUCCUAAUUUUCUUGUUAAAUUCCUAGCGGAUGAUGUAACCGUUAUUUGA